RNAcentral lists this ribosomal RNA (497 nucleotides) under uncultured bacterium. RNAcentral describes it as "partial 16S ribosomal RNA". It matches the Rfam family "Bacterial small subunit ribosomal RNA", at positions 28 to 507 of the family's 1533-position model. The record is from RNAcentral.
GAUGAACGCUGGCGGCGUGCCUAAUACAUGCAAGUCGAGCGAACAGACGAGGAGCUUGCUCCUCUGACGUUAGCGGCGGACGGGUGAGUAACACGUGGAUAACCUACCUAUAAUACUGGGAUAACUUCGGGAAACCGGAGCUAAUACCGGAUAAUAUAUCGAACCGCAUGGUUCAAUAGUGAAAGACGGUUUUGCUGUCACUUAUAGAUGGUUCCGCGUCGCAUUAGCUAGUUGGUAAGGUAACGGCUUACCAAGGCAACGAUGCGUAGCCGACCUGAGAGGAUGAUCGGCCACACUGGAACUGAGACACGGUCCAGACUCCUACGGGAGGCAGCAGUAGGGAAUCUUCCGCAAUGGGCGAAAGCCUGACGGAGCAACACCGCGUGAGUGAUGAAGGUCUUCGGGUCGUAAAACUCUGUUAUUAGGGAAGAACAAAUGUGUAAUUAACUAUGCACGUCUUGACGGUACCUAAUCAAAAAGCCACGGCUAACUACGUG